ACAACAACUGCAGCAUCUUUGAAUGUGACGUCUCACGGCUGCAGACGACCAAAAGAUACCAAACUGUCCAUUUACAUUGAAGAGAAGAAGCAGUGUGAAGAGAGCAGAAAGAGUCACAUGUUGAUCACAUGUUCAUCCUCAGUUUACUGUCAGUCUUUGUGAUCACAGAUAUUAAAGCAGCUUUUCUCUGUUGUGGAACAAAGUGAAUGUAAAACAGGACACAUGUCUCCUGAAACGUCCAAUGAUGAGUCCACACAACAGCGUCAGCAGUAGGAAAGGAGAGAGGCCCAAAGUGUGUUAGUGUUGUGUUGGGGCUGUGAAUGAGCCCUGUCACUGUGAUCAGCUUCCUCCUUCUAAUCCACCAACUCAGUGUUGAUGAAGACUACACAGAGAGAUCACAGCCUUCUUUAGACUCAACACUGCACACAUGACGCCUCUGUUCAUCUCAGUGCUGCUGGCUGCUACGAGCCUCGAAUGCAGAGCGCAAAAAGACAACGUGCUGCAACCAGAAGGAGAUGAGACUGCUGCUGAAGGAGAGGCAGUAACACUUGGCUGUCAAUAUAACAGCACUUCAUCUAAUCACUAUCUGUUCUGGUACAAACAGGAUGGAAACAACAGCCCCAAAUUCAUCCUGAGCCGCUUUACAGUCGGCUCGGGGAAAACAGAGGACCAGGAGAGAUUUUCAUCCACACUGAAUUCAGCCUUAAGAUCAGUUCCUCUGAGGAUCCAGAAGCUUCAGCUGUCAGACUCUGCUGUGUACUACUGUGCUCUGCAGCCCACAGUGACAGGAAACACCAAAACUCUGUACAAAAACCUUUGGAGCAAAGACAACACAAUACUCCACAACGUCCACUAG
This is a non-coding RNA of Sebastes umbrosus (honeycomb rockfish), 856 nucleotides long. NCBI's taxonomy places the organism in Eukaryota, Metazoa, Chordata, Actinopteri, Perciformes, Sebastidae. The record is from the annotation of a RefSeq genome assembly.